AUUGACUGAAACUAUUCAACGACAGGGUUGUGUUAUCCAAGGGUUCAUCUCCUAAAACCGUAUAGCCCAAUAAGAUUUACAUCUCUGUUUGCCUUUUCUUAUUUUACGUUCUCUCAUAUCAAAUUGAACAGAUUGAUUCCUUCAUAUGAAGCUUUCGGUGAGAACGUAAAACCCAUUUGCUGCAGCGUUUUGAUGUCUUUAUCAGAGCUAAGUAUGACAGACGUACGGAUCAUGACUGUAAAAGUUUUCUUUGUAUGUUUAAUCCUAUGGUUUUUAAUAGGAGUUCGUUUAGUCUCCCUGACAACCAGACAAAUGAUUUUUAAAAAGCAAACACAACAACGGAUCUGAUGGACGGUACAUGUUCACUACAACUUAGCACUAGAAAGGUUUACUGUGUUCUGUUUACCCGUUUUAGUACAAAGAGUAGAUAGAAUAUUUCAUUAUGGUUUGAAUUCCCCAUCACUUUUCACUGUAUGCUUAUCCGAAUUUGAGCCAUGGAUUUUGUACCUUUUCUAAUUAUUACGGACAUUGUCCUUUUCAGAGUUACCCGUCUUUUGAUUUGGGUAAUAAUGAUCAUGUAACAACCAACCUGAAAGAAUGUUCUCCAUCUGAGCCUCACAUGGGAUUUACAGUUGAAGGUUUAGGUCAAAAUAAACUCUAAGAGUCUGCCUAAUUCUCAACAGCCAUCAGACAGAAAAGUCAACGAUGGGCUUGCCUUGAAACAGUUCCACGGGAGGGAAAAGGAUAAGAUGGAAUCCCAUGCAACACUGUUACUAACACUCCCGUAUUUAUAAACAUAAGGAUAUGUUAAGAGAUUUUUAUGCUUUCCACAAACUAAGCUUGACUCUACUCUUCUGAUAGGAACAUGAGAAACUUCAUUAAGCAACUGCAUGCAUAUUCAGGGGAGAGCCAACUGAAAGGUAAUUAUCUGGUUUUUCAUUGUCAGCUGAAACAAAUAAUCAACCCAGUGAGAAGCUUUAGGUAUGUAAGUUUAACAUAGAAGGGAGUUGUCUCUUUCUUUGGGAGGGUAUGCUUGAUUUGUUCGACUGCUAUUAGAUCGUCGUGAUAUGAUCAUAUUUUGUUGCUUUUUGUAACUGAUAUUCAUUUAAGUAUAAUCAUAAGCGAGUUUACAAUUCAACAAAAGAAGUUUGG
Molecule: long non-coding RNA, 1152 nt
Organism: Brassica oleracea var. oleracea
Lineage: Eukaryota; Viridiplantae; Streptophyta; Magnoliopsida; Brassicales; Brassicaceae
Exons: 3
Source: RefSeq, a predicted model, not a curated record